AGUCGUACGCUUCUUUUUCCACCGGAGCUUGCUCCACCGGAAAAAGAAGAGUGGCGAACGUGUGAGUAACACGUGGGUAACCUGCCCAUCAGAAGGGGAUAACACUUGGAAACAGGUGCUAAUACCGUAUAACAAUCGAAACCGCAUGGUUUUGAUUUGAAAGGCGCUUUCGGGUGUCGCUGAUGGAUGGACCCGCGGUGCAUUAGCUAGUUGGUGAGGUAACGGCUCACCAAGGCCACGAUGCAUAGCCGACCUGAGAGGGUGAUCGGCCACAUUGGGACUGAGACACGGCCCAAACUCCUACGGGAGGCAGCAGUAGGGAAUCUUCGGCAAUGGACGAAAGUCUGACCAAGCAACGCCGCGUGAGUGAAGAAGGUUUUCGGAUCGUAAAACUCUGUUGUUAGAGAAGAACAAGGAUGAGAGUAACUGUUCAUCCCUUGACGGUAUCUAACCAGAAAGCCACGGCUAACUACGUGCCAGCAGCCGCGGUAAUACGUAGGUGGCAAGCGUUGUCCGGAUUUAUUGGGCGUAAAGCGAGCGCAGGCGGUUUCUUAAGUCUGAUGUGAAAGCCCCCGGCUCAACCGGGGAGGGUCAUUGGAAACUGGGAGACUUGAGUGCAGAAGAGGAGAGUGGAAUUCCAUGUGUAGCGGUGAAAUGCGUAGAUAUAUGGAGGAACACCAGUGGCGAA
This 688-nucleotide ribosomal RNA is filed under the name uncultured bacterium. RNAcentral describes it as "bacterial SSU rRNA". It matches the Rfam family "Bacterial small subunit ribosomal RNA", at positions 60 to 719 of the family's 1533-position model. The record is from RNAcentral.